RNAcentral lists this ribosomal RNA (427 nucleotides) under uncultured bacterium. RNAcentral's name for it is "bacterial SSU rRNA". It matches the Rfam family "Bacterial small subunit ribosomal RNA", at positions 355 to 774 of the family's 1533-position model. The record is from RNAcentral.
UGGGGAAUUUUGGACAAUGGACGCAAGUCUGAUCCAGCCAUGCCGCGUGCGGGAAGAAGGCCUUCGGGUUGUAAACCGCUUUUGUCAGGGAAGAAACGAGUUUCUCUAAUACAGAGACUUAAUGACGGUACCUGAAGAAUAAGCACCGGCUAACUACGUGCCAGCAGCCGCGGUAAUACGUAGGGUGCAAGCGCUAAUCGGAAUUACUGGGCGUAAAGCGCGCGUAGGUGGUUAGUUAAGUUGGAUGUGAAAUCCCCGGGCUCAACCUGGGAACUGCACUCAGAACUGACUGACUAGAGUAUGAGAGAGGGUAGUGGAAUUCCGCGUGUAGCAGUGAAAUGCGUAGAUAUGCGGAGGAACACCGAUGGCGAAGGCAGUCCCCUGGACCUGUACUGACGCUCAUGGACGAAAACGUGGGGAGCAAACA